RNAcentral lists this ribosomal RNA (303 nucleotides) under uncultured bacterium. RNAcentral describes it as "partial 16S ribosomal RNA". It matches the Rfam family "Bacterial small subunit ribosomal RNA", at positions 510 to 810 of the family's 1533-position model. The record is from RNAcentral.
AGCACAGCCGCGGUAAUACGAAGGGUGCAAGCGUUAAUCGGAAUUACUGGGCGUAAAGCGUGCGUAGGCGGUGAGUUAAGUCUGCUGUGAAAUCCCCGGGCUCAACCUGGGAAUGGCAGUGGAUACUGGCUCGCUAGAGUGUGUCAGAGGAUGGUGGAAUUCCCGGUGUAGCGGUGAAAUGCGUAGAGAUCGGGAGGAACAUCAGUGGCGAAGGCGGCCAUCUGGGACAACACUGACGCUGAGGCACGAAAGCGUGGGGAGCAAACAGGAUUAGAUACCCCCGUAGUCCCUGUCUCUUAUAUA